GGAAUCUUCUGGAACAUUACUGACGCUGAGGCGCGAAAGCGUGGGGAGCAAACAGGAUUAGAUACCCUGGUAGUCCACGCCCUAAACGAUGAAUGUUAGUCGUCGGGUAGCUAGUCUAUUCGGUGAUGCAGUUAACGCAUUAAACAUUCCGCCUGGGGAGUACGGUCGCAAGAUUAAAACUCAAAGGAAUAGACCGGGACCCGCACAAGUGGUGGAGCAUGUGGUUUAAUUCGAAGAUACGCGAAGAACCUUACCUAGCCUUGACAUAUUUAGAACACUUUAGAGAUAGAGUGGUGCUUCGGGAGCUAAUAUACAGGUGCUGCACGGCUGUCGUCAGCUCGUGUCGUGAGAUGUUGGGUUAAGUCCCGCAACGAGCGCAACCCUCGUCACUAGUUACUAACGGUUCGGCCGAGGACUCUAGUGAGACUGCCUUCGCAAGGAGGAGGAAGGUGAGGACGACGUCAAGUCAUCACGGCCCUUACGGCUAGGGCAACACACGUGCUACAAUGGCCAGGACAAUGAGAAGCGAUACCGCGAGGUGGAGCAAAUCUAUAAACCUGGUCUCAGUUCGGAUUGUAGUCUGCAACUCGACUACAUGAAGCUGUAAUCACUAGUAAUCGUAGAUCAGCUAUGC
This 634-nucleotide ribosomal RNA is filed under the name uncultured epsilon proteobacterium SA63. Its description in RNAcentral is "bacterial SSU rRNA". It matches the Rfam family "Bacterial small subunit ribosomal RNA", at positions 721 to 1357 of the family's 1533-position model. Lineage: Bacteria; Pseudomonadati; Campylobacterota. The record is from RNAcentral.